GCCAUUUCAUUAAUACUAAGUGUACGCAUUAAAGGAUCAGAGUCCCCGAUGGAAAGAUGAUCUGGAAGGACCCAUGGAUCUAUAUACAAGGACACAUUGACGAGGAGAAUCGGAUGCAUGCAGAUGGUGAAAAUGUA
Drosophila erecta is the source of this 137-nucleotide long non-coding RNA. RefSeq lists it as uncharacterized. The record is from RefSeq and is a predicted model, not a curated record. The transcript is spliced from 2 exons. Lineage: Eukaryota; Metazoa; Arthropoda; Insecta; Diptera; Drosophilidae.